GACGAACGCUGGCGGCGUGCUUAACACAUGCAAGUCGAGCGAUGAAGCACCUUCGGGUGUGGAUUAGCGGCGAACGGGUGAGGAACACGUGAGGAAUCUGCCUUCCACUCUGGGAUAACUCCGGGAAACCGGGGCUAAUACCGGAUAUUUUCAACUGGCGGCAUCGCCGGUUGAAGAAAGUUUUUCGGUGGAAGAUGACCUCGCGGCCUAUCAGCUUGUUGGUGAGGUAAAGGCUCACCAAGGCGACGACGGGUAGCCGGCCUGAGAGGGUGACCGGCCACACUGGGACUGAGACACGGCCCAGACUCCUACGGGAGGCAGCAGUGGGGAAUAUUGGGCAAUGGAGGAAACUCUGACCCAGCGACGUCGCGUGAGGGAUGAAGGCCUUCGGGUUGUAAACCUCUUUCAGCAGGGAAUAAGCGAAAGUGAAGGUACCUGCAGAAGAAGCACCGGCUAACUAUGUGCCAGCAGCCGCCGCAG
RNAcentral lists this ribosomal RNA (480 nucleotides) under uncultured bacterium. RNAcentral's name for it is "partial 16S ribosomal RNA". It matches the Rfam family "Bacterial small subunit ribosomal RNA", at positions 28 to 523 of the family's 1533-position model. The record is from RNAcentral.